This 86-nucleotide transfer RNA is filed under the name Roseospira navarrensis. Its description in RNAcentral is "tRNA-Tyr". It matches the Rfam family "tRNA". From Rfam's summary of the family: Transfer RNA (tRNA) molecules are approximately 80 nucleotides in length. Their secondary structure includes four short double-helical elements and three loops (D, anti-codon, and T loops). The record is from RNAcentral. Lineage: Bacteria; Pseudomonadati; Pseudomonadota; Alphaproteobacteria; Rhodospirillales; Rhodospirillaceae. RNAcentral also lists the same sequence under 1 other name.
GGAGGGGUGGUCGAGUGGUUAAAGGCACCGGACUGUAAAUCCGGCGGGGAAACCCUACGUUGGUUCGAAUCCAACCCCCUCCACCA